RNAcentral lists this ribosomal RNA (440 nucleotides) under uncultured bacterium. RNAcentral's name for it is "partial 16S ribosomal RNA". It matches the Rfam family "Bacterial small subunit ribosomal RNA", at positions 338 to 795 of the family's 1533-position model. The record is from RNAcentral.
CCUACGGGCGGCAGCAGUGGGGGAUAUUGCACAAUGGGGGAAACCCUGAUGCAGCGACGCCGCGUGUGGGAAGACGGUCCUCUGGAUUGUAAACCACUGUCCCCAGGGACGAAGAUGACGGUACCUGGGGAGGAAGCUCCGGCUAACUACGUGCCAGCAGCCGCGGUAAUAGGUAGGGAGCGAGCGUUGUCCGGAAUUACUGGGUGUAAAGGGAGCGUAGGCGGGACUGCAAGUUGGGUGUCAAAUCUACCGGCUCAACCGGUAGCCGCACUCAAAACUGCAGUUCUUGAGUGAAGUAGAGGCAGGCGGAAUUCCUAGUGUAGCGGUGAAAUGCGUAGAUAUUAGGAGGAACACCAGUGGCGAAGGCGGCCUGCUGGGCUUUUACUGACGCUGAGGCUCGAAAGUGUGGGGAGCAAACAGGAUUAGAUACCCUAGUAGUC